GAGUUUGAUCCUGGCUCAGGAUGAACGCUGGCGGCGUGCUUAACACAUGCAAGUCGAACGAAGCGCCUUAUUUGAUUCUUCGGAUGAAGGUCUGGUGACUGAGUGGCGGACGGGUGAGUAACGCGUGGGUAACCUGCCCUGUACAGGGGGAUAACAGCCAGAAAUGACUGCUAAUACCGCAUGAUAUAUUCGGAUGGCAUCGUCUGAAUAUCAAAGAUUUAUCGCUGAAAGAUGGGCUCACGUCUGAUUAGUUAGUUGGUGAGGUAACGGCUCACCAAGACUGCGAUCAGUAGCCGGACUGAGAGGUUGAACGGCCACAUUGGGACUGAGACACGGCCCAGACUCCUACGGGAGGCAGCAGUGGGGAAUAUUGCACAAUGGGGGAAACCCUGAUGCAGCGACGCCGCGUGGAGGAAGAAGGUCUUCGGAUUGUAAACUCCUGUUGUUGAGGAAGAUAAUGACGGUACUCAACAAGGAAGUGACGGCUAACUACGUGCCAGCCGCCGCGGUAAUUC
This 515-nucleotide ribosomal RNA is filed under the name uncultured bacterium. Its description in RNAcentral is "bacterial SSU rRNA". It matches the Rfam family "Bacterial small subunit ribosomal RNA", at positions 9 to 526 of the family's 1533-position model. The record is from RNAcentral.